GACGAACGCUGGCGGCGUGCCUAACACAUGCAAGUCGAACGGAAAGGCCCUGCUUUUGUGGGGUGCCCGAGUGGCGAACGGGUGUGUAACACGUGAGUAUCCUGCCCUUGACUUUGGGAUAACUUCAGGAAACUGGGGCUAAUACCGGAUAGGAGCUCCUGCUGCAUGGUGGGGGUCGGAAAGUUUCGGCGGUUGGGGAUGGACUCGCGGCUUAUCAGCUUGUUGGUGGGGUAGUGGCUUACCAAGGCUUUGACGGGUAGCCGGCCUGGGAGGGUGGCCGGCCACAUUGGGACUGAGGUACGGACCAGACUCCUACGGGAGGCAGCAGUGGGGAGUAUUGCACAAUGGGCGGAAGCCUGAUGCGGCGACGCCGCGUGCGGGAUGACGGCCUUCGGGUUGUGAACCGCUUUCGCCUGAGACGAAGCGUGAGUGACGGUAAUGGGUAAAGAAGCACCGGCUAACUACGUG
This 468-nucleotide ribosomal RNA is filed under the name uncultured bacterium. RNAcentral's name for it is "partial 16S ribosomal RNA". It matches the Rfam family "Bacterial small subunit ribosomal RNA", at positions 28 to 507 of the family's 1533-position model. The record is from RNAcentral.